RNAcentral lists this ribosomal RNA (425 nucleotides) under uncultured bacterium. Its description in RNAcentral is "bacterial SSU rRNA". It matches the Rfam family "Bacterial small subunit ribosomal RNA", at positions 356 to 773 of the family's 1533-position model. The record is from RNAcentral.
GGGGAAUUUUGGACAAUGGGCGCAAGCCUGAUCCAGCCAUGCCGCGUGCGGGAAGAAGGCCUUCGGGUUGUAAACCGCUUUUGUCAGGGAAGAAACGGUCUGAUCUAAUAAAUUGGGCUAAUGACGGUACCUGAAGAAUAAGCACCGGCUAACUACGUGCCAGCAGCCGCGGUAAUACGUAGGGUGCAAGCGUUAAUCGGAAUUACUGGGCGUAAAGCGUGCGCAGGCGGUUAUGCAAGACAGAUGUGAAAUCCCCGGGCUCAACCUGGGAACUGCAUUUGUGACUGCAUAGCUAGAGUACGGUAGAGGGGGAUGGAAUUCCGCGUGUAGCAGUGAAAUGCGUAGAUAUGCGGAGGAACACCGAUGGCGAAGGCAAUCCCCUGGACCUGUACUGACGCUCAUGCACGAAAGCGUGGGGAGCAAAC